UACGUAGGGUGCGAGCGUUGCCCGGAUUUAUUGGGCGUAAAGGGCGCGCAGGCGGCUACGCAAGUCCGUUGUGAAAUCGCUCGGCUCAACUGGGCGGGGUCGGCGGAUACGGCGUAGCUGGAGCAAGCUAGGGGGCAAUGGAAUUCCCGGUGUAGUGGUGGAAUGCGUAGAUAUCGGGAGGAACACCAGUGGCGAAGGCGGUUGCCUGGAGCUUUGCUGACGCUGAGGCGCGAAAGCGUGGGGAGCGAUCCGG
This 253-nucleotide ribosomal RNA is filed under the name uncultured bacterium. RNAcentral's name for it is "partial 16S ribosomal RNA". It matches the Rfam family "Bacterial small subunit ribosomal RNA", at positions 524 to 776 of the family's 1533-position model. The record is from RNAcentral.